GUUUGUUUACAUUUUCAACGUUCUCCGACUUUCUAAGACGUGUUUUAUGCCACUUCUUUUUCUUUCUCAUUUUGUCAAACAAACUUAUAACGUUGCGCAUGAAUGCACAAAGGAAAACUAACGUCAGAACGACUGCAAUGCUUCUGGGCACAGCCACACAUCUGGCGCCUCUUGUUUGGUGUCCAUGCUCUCUCCAUUCAAGUCUCUGGGGUCCCCCCGACCAGUACAUUUCCUCAACACACAGCAUCAAACAGAAAGCCAAAGAUUGGUGCUCUCCUCAGCAAAGCCCUCAAGGCGCAUGAAGCUAUCCAGAUGUGCUUCUCCCACACGCUGUGGACUCCAGCAUCCCUGCCAUUUUUUUCCACACGCCCAGCUCUUUUUUUCAACCCCUUCAUUUACAAUCAGGCCACAUUUCAAGCACUAUCGUUAAAUCAGCUUCUCCCUUCCAUGUUUUCCCCCCUCUCUUGGUGGUGAGAUUAAUUAGAAAUGCAAACUGUAAUCAGAUCAGUGGA
Long non-coding RNA from Nerophis ophidion (straightnose pipefish), 512 nucleotides. RefSeq lists it as uncharacterized. The record is from RefSeq and is a predicted model, not a curated record. NCBI's taxonomy places the organism in Eukaryota, Metazoa, Chordata, Actinopteri, Syngnathiformes, Syngnathidae. The transcript is spliced from 3 exons.